RNAcentral lists this ribosomal RNA (387 nucleotides) under uncultured bacterium. RNAcentral describes it as "bacterial SSU rRNA". It matches the Rfam family "Bacterial small subunit ribosomal RNA", at positions 30 to 419 of the family's 1533-position model. The record is from RNAcentral.
AUUGAACGCUGGCGGCAUGCCUUACACAUGCAAGUCGAACGGCAGCACGGGAGCAAUCCUGGUGGCGAGUGGCGAACGGGUGAGUAAUAUAUCGGAACGUGCCCAGUCGUGGGGAUAACGUAGCGAAAGCUACGCUAAUACCGCAUACGAUCUAUGGAUGAAAGCGGGGGAUCGCAAGACCUCGCGCGAUUGGAGCGGCCGAUAUCAGAUUAGGUAGUUGGUGAGGUAAAGGCUCACCAAGCCGACGAUCUGUAGCUGGUCUGAGAGGACGACCAGCCACACUGGGACUGAGACACGGCCCAGACUCCUACGGAGGCAGCAGUGGGGAAUUUUGGACAAUGGGCGCAAGCCUGAUCCAGCAAUGCCGCGUGCAGGAUGAAGGCUCGG